AGAGUUUGAUCCUGGCUCAGAUUGAACGCUAGCGGCAUGCUUUACACAUGCAAGUCGAACGGCAGCGCGGGGCAACCUGGCGGCGAGUGGCGAACGGGUGAGUAAUACAUCGGAACGUGCCCUGUGAUGGGGGAUAACUACGCGAAAGCGUAGCUAAUACCGCAUACGACCUACGGGUGAAAGUGGGGGAUCGCAAGACCUCACGUCAUAGGAGCGGCCGAUGGCGGAUUAGCUAGUUGGUAAGGUAAAGGCUUACCAAGGCAACGAUCCGUAGCUGGUCUGAGAGGACGACCAGCCACACUGGGACUGAGACACGGCCCAUACUCCUACGGGAGGCAGCAUUGGGGAAUCUUGGACAAUGGGGGCAACCCUGAUCCAGCAAUGCCGCGUGUGGGAUGAAGGCCUUCGGGUUGUAAACCACUUUUGGCGGGGGCGAAAUAUCGAGUGCUAAUACCAUUCGGUGAUGACGGUUCCCGCAGAAUAAGCACCGGCUAACUACGUGCCAGCAGCCGCGGUAAUACGUAGGGUGCAAGCGUUAAUCGGAAUUACUGGGCGUAAAGCGUGCGCAUCGGUUAGGUAAGACAGAUGUGAAAUUCCCGGUCUCAACCUGGG
RNAcentral lists this ribosomal RNA (612 nucleotides) under uncultured bacterium. RNAcentral describes it as "bacterial SSU rRNA". It matches the Rfam family "Bacterial small subunit ribosomal RNA", at positions 8 to 618 of the family's 1533-position model. The record is from RNAcentral.